This 881-nucleotide small RNA is filed under the name Pongo abelii (Sumatran orangutan). RNAcentral describes it as "retained intron". The record is from RNAcentral. Lineage: Eukaryota; Metazoa; Chordata; Mammalia; Primates; Hominidae.
GCUCACCCAGCGCCAGCGGCCGCCGCACCCAGCCGCGCCGGCGAGGACAUGGGCAGCCGCGGCGCGCCCACCCCCCGCGCCGAUGUGAAUUAUUAAAAAGAAAAUGGCCCAACGGAGCACUGUAUUUCCUUCUUGUGUCACCAAGGAAAGGUAUAAUAUAUGGAAAAUAUGCAUCUAAGGCGAGUGAGAACCAUGCCCCGACACAGCCAGUCCCUGACCAUGGCACCAUACUCAUCUGUGAGCCUCGUGGAGCAGCUGGAAGACAGGAUCCUCUGCCAUGAGAAAACCACCGCCGCCCUCGUAGAGCACGCCUUUCGGAUUAAAGAUGACAUUGUCAACAGUUUGCAGAAAAUGCAAAACAAAGGGGGAGGUGACCGCUUGGCCAGGCUUUUCUUGGAGGAGCAUAUCAGAAACAUAACUGCCAUAGUGAAGCAACUUAAUCGGGAUAUCGAGGUAAGGUUUGUGAAAGUCAGGUGGCCUAUGUCCCUUUCCACAGAAUUGCUCCGUGUCAGGAGGUCACCCAAUUCCUACCUUCCAGGCAGUAAUGCAUUUAGAACAAAGCUGUCUGUCUUGUCUAUUCUUAAUGAUCGCCAAGGAGACAGCUUGCAGAAAUAUCCUAAUUAAAUUUAUUCCAGUGUUUGAUAACAGUUACUGUCAGUGUUAUGUUUAAUCUAACUUUAUCUUGCUGAUUAUUAAAUGAUUUUAUUUUGUUUGGCUCUUAAUGAAGGGAGAGAAGAACUAGUCAAAUAGUUUUACUCUAUAAUCUUUCAUAUCUUUGAAGACAGCUAUUAAGUCAGUUACUAAGAUCAGACUUUGUUGCUUCAGAUUAAAUGUUUCUAGGUCAUAAUGAUUAUAUGUAAUACAGUUUAAUACUCAAACAA